CGUGAUACAGUUACCACUCCAUUGAUCAGCAGCUGAGAGUAAGAGAGAGAGGGUGUGUAUAGUGGGGAGAGGGGAGAGAGGAGAGAGAAGGUGAAGAGAGGUAAUUCAAAGAGAGAGAGAAUGUGCUAUUCACAAGGCUUUAAACAGGUUAGCCCCUCCUUCUGCUGGACACACCUCCCUUAGUCAAUCCCUUAGGAUGUAACAGAACCAGAGUGCCUCCUGGGGGAAGGGGGAUUGCAUUGGAAGGGAAUGGAGGAGGAGUUUAUCAACAAACCAACUGAU
Non-coding RNA from Pelobates cultripes (western spadefoot toad), 282 nucleotides. The record is from the annotation of a GenBank genome assembly. NCBI's taxonomy places the organism in Eukaryota, Metazoa, Chordata, Amphibia, Anura, Pelobatidae.